This 252-nucleotide ribosomal RNA is filed under the name uncultured prokaryote. RNAcentral's name for it is "partial 16S rRNA". It matches the Rfam family "Archaeal small subunit ribosomal RNA", at positions 475 to 726 of the family's 1478-position model. The record is from RNAcentral.
ACCGGCAGCUCAAGUGGUGGCCAUUAUUAUUGGGCCUAAAGCGUUCGUAGCCGGUUUGAUAAGUCUCUGGUGAAAUCCCGCAGCUUAACUGUGGGACUUGCUGGAGAUACUAUCAGACUUGAGGUCGGGAGAGGUUAGGGGUACUCCCAGGGUAGCGGUGAAAUGGAAGAAUCCUGGGGGAGCCUCCUGUGGGGAAGGCGCCAAACUGGGACGAGACUGACGUUUAGUAUCGUAAGUCAGUGGUGCGAUCCA